Molecule: long non-coding RNA, 267 nt
Filed under: Pan troglodytes (chimpanzee)
Lineage: Eukaryota; Metazoa; Chordata; Mammalia; Primates; Hominidae
Description: long non-coding RNA NONPTRT013992
Source: RNAcentral
GCAAUUCUAUAUAUGCUCACUAAGAUGCCCCAAGAUGUAUUAAGUUAAAAAUAAACAAAUUUUGUAAAUAAAAGCAGCCAGACACAAGAAAAUACAUAUGGUAUGGUUCUAUUUACUUAAACUCUAAGACUUCCUUAGGACAUUUACACAUUGGACACCAUGUUUCUUUAACCUUUUAAGAUACAGUCAGUGAUAAUUUUAAGAAUGUUCUGGGGAUUUGCAAUAGGAUUGAAAGUAGAUAGGAGUUAGGGGACUUUAAUGUUCUAU